RNAcentral lists this unclassified non-coding RNA (730 nucleotides) under Bombus terrestris (buff-tailed bumblebee). RNAcentral describes it as "misc RNA ENSBTSG00005026679.1". Lineage: Eukaryota; Metazoa; Arthropoda; Insecta; Hymenoptera; Apidae. The record is from RNAcentral.
AUGCAAAAUUCAUAGACGGAAAUCUUCGACGUGGAUAGACAAAUUGAAUCAAUGGCAUAUUUGCUCUAUCGAUUUCACAUUGAACACCAUUCCCCUGAUAUCCAUCUAUUCUCUUACAUAAAGAACUUCUGUUAAAUACCAUUAUUUUUCAUUCGACUCCGCUGCUCGUACAGUCGAUUUACCGUUACGAUUAUAAAUACGUACGACUUGGAAAACCAUCGACCUCAAAAGAGUCCUUUAACACGUGACAUUUACUUCCCUACUUAUAACCUUAUUUUAUUUCUUCAGCGAUAAGAUGAAAUCCAUCUUCAGGUGGUGAGCUACGGAGAUCCCGCGGAGUCACGGAAGCGAAAUGGAUCGAAUUGAUAAAGAGACACGUGCGAAGAGAAAGGAAGCCCCGGGGACGCUGGAGGUGGGAGGUCGAGCAGGGUGAAGUCGCUGGCGGGGUGGAGAUGGCGGCCCGUACGCUCCAACCCCUCAGUAACGCGGUAGCCUCUGUCGAAGAGGUAGCUCGGUGGUUUCGUGCUCCGUUACUCGACAUAACGUUCUCCGCUUUCCUCGUGUUCUCAAUUUUCGGCAGUCUGCGUGUCGUUGGUUUCUAACGAGAUCGUUCGGACUGAAGAGAAAAAUUUGAAAUUUACCGAAGAAGUUGGAACAAUGUAGCGUGAAGAUAUCUCUCGAGCGGUUACGAUCAACAGGUUAAUUCUUCGGCGAUAAACCGAAGCGACUG